RNAcentral lists this ribosomal RNA (45 nucleotides) under Saprolegnia sp. WD1I. RNAcentral's name for it is "partial 28S ribosomal RNA". Lineage: Eukaryota; Oomycota; Saprolegniomycetes; Saprolegniales; Saprolegniaceae. The record is from RNAcentral.
UUGGACCUGAUAUCAAACAAAGACUAACCCGCUGAACAUUAAGCA